RNAcentral lists this ribosomal RNA (472 nucleotides) under uncultured bacterium. RNAcentral describes it as "partial 16S ribosomal RNA". It matches the Rfam family "Bacterial small subunit ribosomal RNA", at positions 28 to 507 of the family's 1533-position model. The record is from RNAcentral.
GAUGAACGCUGGCGGCGUGCCUAAUACAUGCAAGUCGAGCGAACGGACGAGAAGCUUGCUUCUCUGAUGUUAGCGGCGGACGGGAGAGUAACACGUGGAUAACCUACCUAUACGACUGGGAUAACUUCGGGAAACCGGAGCUAAUACCGGAUAAUAUUUUGCACCGCAUUGUUCAAAAGUUAAAUACGAUCGUUCUGUCAGUUAUAGAUGGAUCCGCGUUGCAUUAGCUAGUUGGUAGGGUAACUGCUUACCAAGGCGACGAUCCAUAGCCGACCGGAGAGGAUGAUAAGCCACACGGGGAAUGAGACACGGGCCAGACUCCUACGGGAGGCAGCAGUGGGGAAUAUUGGACAAUGGGCGAAAGCCUGAUCCAGAAAUGCCGCGUGAGUGAUGAAGGCCUUAGGGUUGUAAAGCUCUUUUACCCGGGAUGAUAAUGACAGUACCGGGAGAAUAAGCUCCGGCUAACUCCGUG